GAUGAAGAACGUAGCGAAAUGCGAUAAGUAGUGUGAAUUGCAGAAUUCAGUGAAUCAUCGAAUCUUUGAACGCACAUUGCGCCCCAUGGUAUUCCGUGGGGCAUGCCUGUUCGAGCGUCAUUUACCCCCUCAAGCUCCGCUUGGUGUUGGGCGUCUGUCCCGCUUCGCGCGCGGACUCGCCCCAAAGGUAUUGGCAGCGGUCGUGCCAGCUUCUCGCGCAGCACAUUGCGCUUCUCGAGGCACCGGUGGGCCCGCGUCCAUCAAGCUCAACCCCCCCAGUUUGACCUCGGAUCAGGUAGGGAUACCCGCUGAACUUAAGCAUAUCAAUAAGCGGAGGA
RNAcentral lists this unclassified non-coding RNA (338 nucleotides) under soil metagenome. Its description in RNAcentral is "partial contains 5.8S ribosomal RNA, internal transcribed spacer 2, and large subunit ribosomal RNA". The stretch from base 1 to 120 matches the Rfam family "5.8S ribosomal RNA", at positions 35 to 154 of the family's 154-position model. The record is from RNAcentral.